Molecule: long non-coding RNA, 335 nt
Filed under: Callithrix jacchus (white-tufted-ear marmoset)
Lineage: Eukaryota; Metazoa; Chordata; Mammalia; Primates; Cebidae
Description: lncRNA (ENSCJAG00000079376.1)
Source: RNAcentral
CCAAAAGCAGUCCACACUCACAUUCUGUUUCUUGAUAUAGGUACUGGUUCCAUCAUAGCUUUGUGAAAAUUCAUCAAGUGGCUGGUGCGGUGGCUCACGCCUGUCAUCUCAGCACUUUGGAAGCUCCCUCUCCUGCACAAGACCUGUAGGGCUUGGCAUCUGUGAGCACUCCAGUAAGUAUUUACUACUAAAUUCAGUUGUCAUUCGUCUAGAAUGUACUGGGGGCCAGCGCCUGUUUUUCUAAGCCUGUCUUAUUUAAUCUUUACCAUCACCUCAUGAUUUACUCUUAUCCUUAUUUUACAGUGAAGAAAUGGAGAUUUUUGGGAGGCUGAGUA